GCACAAUGGGGGAAACCCUGAUGCAGCCAUGCCGCGUGUGUGAAGAAGGCCUUCGGGUUGUAAAGCACUUUCAGUAGGGAGGAAGGUAGUGUAGUUAACACCUGCAUUAUUUGACGUUACCUACAGAAGAAGCACCGGCUAACUCCGUGCCAGCAGCCGCGGUAAUACGGAGGGUGCGAGCGUUAAUCGGAAUUACUGGGCGUAAAGCGCAUGCAGGUGGUUUGUUAAGUCAGAUGUGAAAGCCCGGGGCUCAACCUCGGAACUGCAUUUGAAACUGGCAGACUAGAGUCUUGUAGAGGGGGUAGAAUUUCAGGUGUAGCGGUGAAAUGCGUAGAGAUCUGAAGGAAUACCAGUGGCGAAGGCGGCCCCCUGGACAAAGACUGACGCUCAGAUGCGAAAGCGUGGGGAGCAAACAGGAUUAGAUACCCUGGUAG
Molecule: ribosomal RNA, 434 nt
Filed under: uncultured bacterium
Lineage: Bacteria
Description: bacterial SSU rRNA
Rfam family: Bacterial small subunit ribosomal RNA
Source: RNAcentral